UGGGGAAUCUUGCGCAAUGGGCGAAAGCCUGACGCAGCCAUGCCGCGUGAGUGAUGAAGGCCUUAGGGUUGUAAAACUCUUUCAGCGGGGACGAUAAUGACGGUACCCGCAGAAGAAGCCCCGGCUAACUUCGUGCCAGCAGCCGCGGUAAUACGAAGGGGGCUAGCGUUGCUCGGAAUUACUGGGCGUAAAGGGCGCGUAGGCGGACAGUUCAGUCAGAGGUGAAAUCCCGGGGCUCAACCUCGGAACUGCCUUUGAUACUGGCUGUCUUGAGUACGGGAGAGGUGUGUGGAACUCCGAGUGUAGAGGUGAAAUUCGUAGAUAUUCGGAAGAACACCAGUGGCGAAGGCGACACACUGGCCCGUUACUGACGCUGAGGCGCGAAAGCGUGGGGAGCAAA
RNAcentral lists this ribosomal RNA (400 nucleotides) under uncultured bacterium. RNAcentral's name for it is "bacterial SSU rRNA". It matches the Rfam family "Bacterial small subunit ribosomal RNA", at positions 355 to 772 of the family's 1533-position model. The record is from RNAcentral.